AAAAAAGUUGCCGUGGACGAACCGACCUUCAACCGGUCCCCGAGCGCUGGCUGCAGUCGGGAGGGUGCGACGGAACAGCAGGCUCAGGGCGGGCGCGCCCAAUGCGGUCCAACGCCGCGCGCCACUUUGGAUCUCGGAGGACAUCGCACCGGGCGGUCCGGCCAGUCAUGUGGGGAUCAAACAAUUGUUCCGAGUCGGUGACACAAAAGUGAUCGCACAGGGCCUGCUCCGUGGACUCGUCGCCCCACCCGACACGGUCAGGGUCGAUCCAAACAGACGAACAUUCAAAACACAGGAGGACAAUCUCGUUGUUGGGCACGCUGUAAAAGGCACGGUCCCUCGCGUCGCAAAUAGGGCACCGGACAGCAGAGGCCAUCAACCGCGGGAAGAGAAAAGGGCUUGCGCUUUUCGGCGGUGACUGCAGGCGGUCCGAUAAUGCGGUGCAGCGUGUGAUCGCGAGUUGGCAGGAAAGAGAUGUUUUUGCACAAGGACACGACCGGUACUGCCACGGCGGCCCGUCCCUCGGGUUCCUGUUGCUGUGGACCUGUGCGGCGCUGUGUAGAAAAAAAAAAGGUUUGUCCCGUG
Molecule: long non-coding RNA, 585 nt
Filed under: Pandoravirus salinus
Description: putative ncRNA
Source: RNAcentral